This 322-nucleotide ribosomal RNA is filed under the name uncultured eukaryote. Its description in RNAcentral is "partial 18S ribosomal RNA". It matches the Rfam family "Eukaryotic small subunit ribosomal RNA", at positions 1470 to 1796 of the family's 1831-position model. The record is from RNAcentral.
CCCUUAGAUGUUCUGGGCCGCACGCGUGCUACACUGAGUGGAUCAGCGGGUCAGGUUGCGCGAAAGCGUUUCCUAAUCUUUAAAUCCGCUCGUGAUGGGGAUUGACGGUUGCAAUUUUCUGUCAUGAACGAGGAAUCCCUUGUAAGCGCGGGUCAUCAUCCCGCGCUGAAUACGUCCCUGCCCUUUGUACACACCGCCCGUCGCUCCUACCGAUUGAGUGGUCCGGUGAGGCUUUGGGAUCUGAGCGGAAAGAGCGUUUCGCUGUUUCUGCUCGGAAAACUCAGUCGAACCUUAUCAUUUAGAGGAAGGAGAAGUCGUAACA